AGUCGAGCGAACAGAAAAGGAGCUUGCUCCUUUGACGUUAGCGGCGGACGGGUGAGUAACACGUGGGCAACCUACCCUAUAGUUUGGGAUAACUCCGGGAAACCGGGGCUAAUACCGAAUAAUCUCUUUUACUUCAUGGUGAAAGACUGAAAGACGGUUUCGGCUGUCGCUAUUGGAUGGGCCCGCGGCGCAUUAGCUAAUUGGGGAGGUAACGGCUCACCAAGGGGACGAUGCGUAGCCGACCUGAAAGGGUGAUCGGCCACACUGGGACUGAAACCCGGCCCAAACUCCUACGGGAGGGAGCAGUAGGGAAUCUUCCACAAUGGGCGAAAGCCUGAUGGAACAACCCCCCGUGAGUGAAAAAGGUUUUCGGAUCCUAAAACUCUGUUGUAAGGGAAAAACAAGUACAGUAAUAACUGGCUGUACCUUGACGGUACCUUAUUAAAAAGCCACGGCUAACUACCUGCCAGCAGCCGCGGUAAUACCUAGGUGGCAAGCGUUGUCCGGAAUUAUUGGGCGUAAAGCGCGCGCAGGCGGUCCUUUAAGUCUGAUGUGAAAGCCCACGGCUCAACCGUGGAGGGUCAUUGGAAACUGGGGGA
RNAcentral lists this ribosomal RNA (599 nucleotides) under Lysinibacillus sp. 06. RNAcentral describes it as "bacterial SSU rRNA". It matches the Rfam family "Bacterial small subunit ribosomal RNA", at positions 60 to 640 of the family's 1533-position model. The record is from RNAcentral. Lineage: Bacteria; Bacillati; Bacillota; Bacilli; Caryophanales; Bacillaceae.